AACACCCACAAACAACGUCACGACGCAACGUGGUUAAACAGUACGUUUAUUAAAGUAACUGGGUGAACGACAUCGGAGCGGACUGCAAAUCGCAACGCUACUUUCUCGAGUGCAGAUACUCUUCGAGACGGCUAAACAACGUGUCCAACUCGCUGAGACCUUUCCGCGUGCCGUUAUCCGAUUUCCUUUCCGCCUCCUGAGACAGCCGACUAAUCACGGACUUAUCUCCGCAACCUAACAGAGGCUGGGAGCCCGACAAAAGUAAAACAGCGUGCUAUGAACACGUUGUUACCUCUGCGCGGACAGCGCCGCCACAGAGACACUUACGCAUUGCCGCAUGUCUUUGUAGAUGGAUUCUAGCGUCGAGCGCAUACUAUGCAAUUCCGUCUUAAGUCCAGGAUAGACGUGGUCGCCUGCGGGGAACACGAUCUCCAGAUACCGCCUCAACAACCAGUCCAUGACGCUGCAUCCCCAACAGCCUUUGACCACCGUACCGUCGAGCCACACGGAGUAGUCGUCCUCACGUUGCUACAAGAGGAAAACUACGUCACUCGACACGCGGAAAAGAAAGACCGUCGCAAUAAACCGUACCUACGUGACCUACCAACGUAGGUUUUACUCGAUGAAAGGUGACGCGGAGAUCUUGCAAUCUGGUCGCGUAAUCCUCCGGACGACACUGCGGCUUUGUAUUCUUUAUCGUCGUCGUCGUCGUCGUCGCCGCCGGCUUCGCCUCCUCGGAAGCGCCUAGAAAAAAGACGAUCAGGACCAGAGAGGAAGAGACCAUCACCGACAGCAUCGCCGCAGCAUGCCGCCCCAAUCCGCCGCCCAACUGCGCGUCCCAGAUACCACUCGUAGACUGUCAGCCUCGCGAGGAGACACCGCGGACCGGGGAAACGGAUAAGUUUACGAACAGAAAUCUCAAGAUAAAGACGCUGACCCGGCAAGUACCGUCACGGAGAUACGGUGGUUUUUAUUGAAUUUCCAGUGUAUCGAGCCACCGUGAUGCAGGUACGGUGGUUUUAUGUGAAGUGCCGCUAUCUAUAGGCGAUGUGUUCCCUGACGGUGUGUGUUUUUUGGGGAUAGACAACGUGGUUCUUGUACGUGGUUUUUACCCUGCUCAAUAAAGUCACGUUUUCCUUACACGGUGUUGUGUC
Molecule: small RNA, 1154 nt
Filed under: Human betaherpesvirus 5
Lineage: Duplodnaviria; Heunggongvirae; Peploviricota; Herviviricetes; Herpesvirales; Orthoherpesviridae
Description: RNA5.0
Source: RNAcentral